This 206-nucleotide long non-coding RNA is filed under the name Mytilus galloprovincialis (Mediterranean mussel). The record is from RNAcentral. Lineage: Eukaryota; Metazoa; Mollusca; Bivalvia; Mytilida; Mytilidae.
AUUUUGUUACAGCUAUUGUACUUCCCACUAGCACUUACAACUAAAUAUGAUUAAUAUCCUCUUACAAUAUCAAUAACACCAAAAAUAUGGGAUCAUAUGACAAUUUAAAAGACAAAAUAACCAAAAUAAAUGAAAAAAAACAUCAGGGUCAAUUAUCCAACUGAUUCUAACCAUGAGGGUAUUCCAGUGAAAAAUUCUAAUCACAC